AAAUAGAAGUGAGAAUGAGAGUGGAGAUGAGAUUAAGAAGAAAGAUAAGAUGGGAGGAUGGGAGGGAGGAGUAACAAAACUGAAAACAAAAACUAAAAACUGAAAUCAAUUUCAAAUUGUUUUCACUUUUGUUACUCCUCUCUUCCAUCCUCCCCUCUCAUCAUCUCUUUCAAUCUCAUACUCACGCUCAUUUU
Molecule: small nucleolar RNA, 194 nt
Filed under: Prunus dulcis (almond)
Lineage: Eukaryota; Viridiplantae; Streptophyta; Magnoliopsida; Rosales; Rosaceae
Description: sRNA ncRNA
Source: RNAcentral